RNAcentral lists this ribosomal RNA (274 nucleotides) under uncultured bacterium. RNAcentral describes it as "partial 16S ribosomal RNA". It matches the Rfam family "Bacterial small subunit ribosomal RNA", at positions 523 to 796 of the family's 1533-position model. The record is from RNAcentral.
AUACGUAGGGUGCAAGCGUUGUUCGGAAUUACUGGGCGUAAAGCGCGCGUAGGCGGGUUUUUAAGUCGAUUGUGAAAUCCCAGGGCUCAACCCUGGACGUGCAGUCGAAACUGGAAAUCUUGAAUACUUGAGAGGUUGGGGGAAUUCCCGGUGUAGGAGUGAAAUCCGUAGAUAUCGGGAGGAACACCCGAGGCGAAGGCGCCCAACUGGUGAUGUAUUGACGCUGAGGCGCGAAAGCAUGGGGAGCAAACAGGAUUAGAAACCCCGGUAGUCC